This 286-nucleotide long non-coding RNA is filed under the name Ricinus communis (castor bean). RNAcentral's name for it is "long non-coding RNA (RCOM_LNC002802)". The record is from RNAcentral. Lineage: Eukaryota; Viridiplantae; Streptophyta; Magnoliopsida; Malpighiales; Euphorbiaceae.
AUUUCAUUCCCGGAGCAUGCUUUUAUGUUAAAGUCUAUCAAACGAACCUCCUAUCCUAGAACCUGCUUUCAUAAGGACUGCUGGUAAAGAAAAGGGACGAAGUGGAGAGCACUGACAAGUUGAGGGAAUGCUGGAAAACUCCUUUGCUUAUCCUUUAUCCUUCUACUACAAACGAGAAAGUUGGAGAAAAAAGGGAAGUCUAGGCCAUCCAAUUAUAUUCCUUACAAGCCAAUAGCAGAAAAAAAAAAAAGCACUCUGGUUUGCUGCUCAUCCUGCUUGAGAUCGG